GCGGAUGUAGCUCAGUUGGUUAGAGCGCUGGUUUGUGGAGCCGGAGGUCGUGGGUUCAAGACCCAUCAUUCGCCCCA
RNAcentral lists this transfer RNA (77 nucleotides) under Candidatus Saccharibacteria bacterium 32-50-10. RNAcentral describes it as "tRNA-His". It matches the Rfam family "tRNA". From Rfam's summary of the family: Transfer RNA (tRNA) molecules are approximately 80 nucleotides in length. Their secondary structure includes four short double-helical elements and three loops (D, anti-codon, and T loops). The record is from RNAcentral. Lineage: Bacteria; Candidatus Saccharimonadota.